This 254-nucleotide ribosomal RNA is filed under the name uncultured bacterium. RNAcentral describes it as "partial 16S ribosomal RNA". It matches the Rfam family "Bacterial small subunit ribosomal RNA", at positions 524 to 776 of the family's 1533-position model. The record is from RNAcentral.
UACGGGGGGAGCAAGCGUUGUUCGGAUUUACUGGGCGUAAAGGGCGCGUAGGCGGUCGUGACAAGUCACUUGUGAAAUCUCCGGGCUUAACUCGGAACGGUCAAGUGAUACUGUCGGACUAGAGUACAGAAGGGGCAACUGGAAUUCUCGGUGUAGCGGUGAAAUGCGUAGAUAUCGGGAGGAACACCAGAGGCGAAGGCGGCGACCUGGACAAGUACUGACACUCAACUACGAAAGCGUGGGGAGCAAACAGG